This 1853-nucleotide long non-coding RNA is filed under the name Medicago truncatula (barrel medic). RNAcentral's name for it is "long non-coding RNA (MTRU_LNC004882)". The record is from RNAcentral. Lineage: Eukaryota; Viridiplantae; Streptophyta; Magnoliopsida; Fabales; Fabaceae.
CAUAACCAUCCAUGUUUAGGUUCUCAACAAAAGGAAAUAAAAAGACUAAAAGCUGAUCAACUAAUCCCAACAAGCAUCUAACUCCAGGAUGCUCCUUAGACCGGUCACUCUCCACUAAAUCAUCUCCUCAUCAGGUAGGUUAUAUCGUAUUCCCGGAAGGAAAAUCAUCUCGGCGAGGUAGAUCGGGGUUGUCAUCUGGUUCAAAAGUAAGGGUCAUCUCCAACUAACAAACAUAGUACAAAUAUUCAUGCAGACAUAUAUUUCAACAAAUAACCAAAAAUAAUUAAAUAAUUGGAUAGUUUGUACAAACAUUACUCAAUUUCUUAGUCACCACUCUUAGCCUUAAGUUACAACUUGACUAAAGUGUGUUAGUCCCUAAUGGUCAGUCUAUAUGCAAUGCUCAUGAUCCGGAUUUCACCUCUAAACGGAGCCAAAUGUCCAACCAUUGGACAAUAUACCCCACCAUUGGGUAAUAACACCUAAAAAUUCGAUGUUCAGUACCCCACCAUUGGACAUUAUUCUGAAUCAUCUAAUGCAUAUGAAUCGUCACUACCCCACCGUUGGGUAAUAACUCCUAAAACUCGAUGUUUAGUACCCCACCGUAGGGUAUUUGUCUGAGUCAUCUAAUGCAUGAAUGUCUCCGUAAAUACCCCACCAUUGGGUAAUAACUCCUUAAUUCUAAAUCUAGUAUCCCACCAUUGGAUAUAGUUAAAAAUCACCAUUUAGCUACUUAAGGUUAUUCAUCCAUAAACAAAGAGUAUUUAUGUUAAAAUAACACCACACAAAUAAUAACACAUAAUAUUCAUACCAAAGCAAACCACCAAGAUAAUUAUCACAACACCAAUAUAUAACACAUAAUCAUUCAUUUCUAAACAACAUCAUUAUGAUAAUUAUCACAACACAAUUAUACACACAUAUACACGUACGGAAGCGCGUGGAGUGAUGCCCUUACCUUCGUAAUAACCGUCGUUAAACUCCUCAAGCGGUGGUCUUUGUUCUCCUACCUCUGUACCUUCACAAUUAAAUAUUUACUCACUUAGUUUCAAUUUCAAUUACUACUGUCAAGGCUUGGGUUGCAUUAAAAUAUGACUUACUACCUCUUCAUUCUUUCUGAUAUCUAUAUACGGCCUCUUUUUAUUUUACCCCUUUUUUUUUUGUUAGCAUGGUGCAGUUCAGCUUAAUCUACAACCUGCCUAAUUCAUUUUACUUGAAUUCAAAAAGAACCUUCUAUUUUUAUCUAAUAGCUCAGUACACUUUAGGCUUGGCCUUUCAAAAUUGGAAUAAGGUUCAUGGUUAAGAUAACUAAUGCAUAGAGUAUUAGGAUCACCAUCAGAGAACAAUUAAGGUAAAACUAUGCUACACUAAUUAUUAAUAGGCCAUAUAAUUGAGACUUCAAGUUAAGGGUUGAUUCAAAUUUACCAUACUACCUCUGUCAUCAGGUCUCUUCCUAUUUACAACAUCUCAAUUUACAUUUAUUCUACAUUUCUACUCCACUAACGGUCCUUUCAUCUCUACAAAACAAUUCUUUCUCUUAAUUAUGGUUUCUAUCCUAAACAAUUACCCAAUUCUCUUAAUACUAAACCAGAACAGAAGAAGAGAGACAUGACAUAAUUUAAUUCUCUAUAACCACAAUAAUAACAAAGGAUAGUGAGAGGGAAGAUGUUCUUACUUGUCUACGCAAAGUGAAUUUUUGUUCUCUUUUCUUUCUCCUUCAGACUCUACGUACCCUUUCUCUCUAUUUCUCUAUGUAACCCGUUUUUUUUUAUUAUGUUUCUAAGGAGUGGAAUGAGUGGGUGAGUUGAAAGAGUUAACCAAAUAAUUAGGAAGGGAGGUUGAAAUUUAAUUCUCAAUUG